AAUAUUGCGCAAUGGCCGAAAGGCUGACGCAGCGACGCCGCGUGUGGGAGGAAGCCCUUCGGGGUGUAAACCACUGUCAGGGGGGACGAAUUCCGGACGGGCGAAUAGCCCGGACGGUUGACGGUACCUCCAAAGGAAGCACCGGCUAACUCCGUGCCAGCAGCCGCGGUAAUACGGAGGGUGCGAGCGUUGUCCGGAAUCACUGGGCGUAAAGGGCGCGUAGGUGGCUUGGUCAGCGUGUGGUGAAAGCUCGGGGCUCAACCCCGAGUCGGCCAUGCGAACUGCCGAGCUUGAGCACUGUAGAGGCAGACGGAAUUCCGGGUGUAGCGGUGGAAUGCGUAGAGAUCCGGAAGAACACCGGUGGCGAAGGCGGUCUGCUGGGCAGUUGCUGACACUGAGGCGCGACAGCGUGGGGAGCAAAC
RNAcentral lists this ribosomal RNA (422 nucleotides) under uncultured bacterium. RNAcentral's name for it is "bacterial SSU rRNA". It matches the Rfam family "Bacterial small subunit ribosomal RNA", at positions 360 to 773 of the family's 1533-position model. The record is from RNAcentral.